AUACUUACCUGGCAGGGAGAUACCAUGAUCAUGAAGGUGGUUCACCCAGGGCGAGGGCUCAGCCAUUGCACUUCGGGUUGUGCUGACCGAUGCGAAUUCCCCGUCUUAGGAAUCUCGACUGCAUAAUUUGUGGUAGUGGGGACUGCGUCCGCGCUCUCCCCU
Small nuclear RNA from Hippoglossus stenolepis (Pacific halibut), 162 nucleotides. RefSeq annotates it as U1 spliceosomal RNA. NCBI's taxonomy places the organism in Eukaryota, Metazoa, Chordata, Actinopteri, Pleuronectiformes, Pleuronectidae. The record is from RefSeq and is a predicted model, not a curated record. The transcript has a single exon.